This 257-nucleotide ribosomal RNA is filed under the name uncultured bacterium. RNAcentral's name for it is "partial 16S ribosomal RNA". It matches the Rfam family "Bacterial small subunit ribosomal RNA", at positions 99 to 354 of the family's 1533-position model. The record is from RNAcentral.
CGGACGGGUGAGUAACGCGUGAGCAACCUGCCUUUCAGAGGGGGAUAACGUUUGGAAACGAACGCUAAUACCGCAUGAUAUGAUCGAACCGCAUGGUUUGAUGAUCAAAGGAGCAAUCCGCUGAAAGAUGGGCUCGCGUCCGAUUAGGUAGUUGGCGGGGUAACGGCCCACCAAGCCGACGAUCGGUAGCCGGACUGAGAGGUUGAACGGCCACAUUGGGACUGAGACACGGCCCAGACUCCUACGGAAGGCAGCAG